Molecule: non-coding RNA, 164 nt
Filed under: Elusimicrobiota bacterium
Lineage: Bacteria; Pseudomonadati; Elusimicrobiota
Description: Elusimicrobia bacterium (hot springs metagenome) 6S RNA
Rfam family: 6S / SsrS RNA
About the family: E. coli 6S RNA was the first non coding RNA to be sequenced, but its function was unknown until recently. It consists of 184 nucleotides that fold into an extended hairpin structure with a large single-stranded internal bulge. The 6S RNA specifically associates with RNA polymerase holoenzyme containing the sigma70 specificity factor.
Source: RNAcentral
UAAGCCCUGCGAUGUUGGUGCGCCUCAAGGCCAAUAAGACCGACAACUAAACCAUCAGGAAGCCGGAUAAAGUUUGUCCGUGCUCGUGGGCCGGGCAACAGGUUUCCACCUUAAUUAAAUUAAGGGUUCUAAUUGGCUUAAGGACACGGCAUUGCGGGGUUUUU